RNAcentral lists this ribosomal RNA (253 nucleotides) under uncultured bacterium. RNAcentral describes it as "partial 16S ribosomal RNA". It matches the Rfam family "Bacterial small subunit ribosomal RNA", at positions 524 to 776 of the family's 1533-position model. The record is from RNAcentral.
UACGUAGGGUGCGAGCGUUAAUCGGAAUUACUGGGCGUAAAGCGUGCUCAGGCGGUACGUUAAGACAGGUGUGAAAUCCCCGGGCUUAACCUGGGAAUUGCGCUUGUGACUGGCGUGCUCGAGUGCGGCAGAGGGGGGUGGAAUUCCAGGUGUAGCAGUGAAAUGCGUAGAUAUCUGGAGGAACACCGAUGGCGAAGGUAGCCCCCUGGGCCGACGCUGACGAUAAGGCACGAAAGCGUGGGGAGCAAACAGG